Molecule: ribosomal RNA, 315 nt
Filed under: uncultured eukaryote
Lineage: Eukaryota
Description: partial 18S ribosomal RNA
Rfam family: Eukaryotic small subunit ribosomal RNA
Source: RNAcentral
CCCUUAGACGUUCUGGGCCGCACGCGCGCUACACUGACCAGUGCAACAAGCAUCCGUCCUUGGCCGACAGGCUCGGGCAAUCUUUGAACGCUGGUCGUGAUGGGGAUAGACUUUUGCAAUUUUUGGUCUUCAACGAGGAAUUCCUAGUAAACGCAAGUCAUCAACUCGCAUUGAUUACGUCCCUGCCCUUUGUACACACCGCCCGUCGCACCUACCGAUUGAAUGGUCCGGUGAAGCCUCCGGAUUGGCGCGCACCUCGGUGCCGCCGAGAAGUUGGCUAAACCUUACCAUUUAGAGGAAGGUGAAGUCGUAACA